This 220-nucleotide ribosomal RNA is filed under the name uncultured bacterium. Its description in RNAcentral is "partial 16S ribosomal RNA". It matches the Rfam family "Bacterial small subunit ribosomal RNA", at positions 57 to 305 of the family's 1533-position model. The record is from RNAcentral.
GCAAGUCGAGCGCGCCCUUCGGGUUUAGCGGCGGACGGGUGAGUAACGCGUGGGAAUAUGCCCUUCUCUACGGAAUAGCCUCGGGAAACUGAGAGUAAUACCGUAUACGCCCUACGGGGGAAAGAUUUAUCGGAGAAGGAUUAGCCCGCGUUGGAUUAGGUAGUUGGUGAGGUAAUGGCUCACCAAGCCUACGAUCCAUAGCUGGUUUGAGAGGAUGAUC